RNAcentral lists this long non-coding RNA (1206 nucleotides) under Canis lupus familiaris (dog). RNAcentral describes it as "lncRNA (ENSCAFG00030020747.1)". Lineage: Eukaryota; Metazoa; Chordata; Mammalia; Carnivora; Canidae. The record is from RNAcentral.
AUGGAAAAAAAAAAAUAUGUGGCCACCACCAGGUCACUUGUCUCUCAUCUACACCCUUUUUAUGUAUCGGUGCUGGUUUUCAUCCAUUUUCAUACAGCCCAACCUCUCACCUGCGCGUCUCUUAUCCACCCUCCUCUGCCAGGCUCUGUGCCCAGAAGGCUGACUUCUAGGGGCCGCCUCACUGGGCUUCCUUGUCCUCUGGCUUCUGAUUGGAUCCAGCCAAAGGGAGCCCCUGGCCAAGAUCCUGGGAGGGCAGGAGGGAGAGGUUGGAGUGUUGGUGCUCCUCUGCUCUUCAUACCUGGCGUGGCUCUGCAGGAGCUGGUUGCCCUGUGGCUGCAGCUCCAAUCAGAACCCUUUGGAACCCCACAUCAUAAUGGGCUCCCCAUCCUCCUGCUUCUGAAAACAGUCCCUUCACCCACCCCUCUUCAGCUGGCUGAGACCAUUGCCAGCGGUGCUGGAUCUCUGCAAGCUCCUUUACUCUCUUGCCUUUAUCUCGCCCCUUUAGGGCCCCCGCUAUGCUCAAAACUGCAGCUGGUUAGCACACGGCAGCCUGACCUUGGAGAGGAUAAUGUCAGAAUUCUUGUACACCAGCAUCAUGUCCCCAGCCCACCCCGAUCCAUGCACGCUGUCUCUGCCGGGCACAAGCAGAGACCCUCUCUAGGCUCCGGGAGUAGAGGCUGCCUCAUAAGGGGAAGUGAAAGUCAUGUCACUUACAGGUCAUGUCAAGUCAGCGAGGGUACAGGGCCCUUAUUCAGGGGCUGGGGCCAGGGUGGCAGUGGACACAGUGGUCCCUCUCUCAGGGUGAGGAAGCAAGACAACAGAAAUUCACCCCUCGAGCCAGGCAGCCUCGCUCUAGAAUGCCAAGUCCACAGGGAGAGAGAGAGAGUGCAGAGGAAACAAAAGUCCCAAAUGAGGGGCUUGGCACAAUGGCUUGGGCAUGGAGGAUGGCCCUCUACUGCAACGCUCACACCACCUGCAGGGUGGGGAGCCCGUCCCUCUAUUCUCACCCAUGGUCCUUCACCAGAUCCCCCUCCGCAGAGUGCACAGCAGCCUCGCAGCAACAUUCACAGGAGGCUCGAUUCAGUGUCUGAUCACGGAGGUGAAACUAUUUCUUUAUAUGAGAAAUCCAUUUUUCAGGAAUGGAAAUGCAUUCCCCUUCCCUUCCUCCUCUUUUUAUUUCUUGAUUCUUUUACUUUUUUGUUCUGA